GAUCGUAUUAAAAACGUACGAGUGCA
RNAcentral lists this small RNA (26 nucleotides) under Bombyx mori (domestic silkworm). RNAcentral describes it as "ovarian small RNA-16128". Lineage: Eukaryota; Metazoa; Arthropoda; Insecta; Lepidoptera; Bombycidae. The record is from RNAcentral.